UGCGUAGGCGGCGCGGUAAGUCGGGUGUGAAAUCUCGGAGCUUGACUCCGAAACUGCAUUCGAUACUGCCGUGCUUGAGUAUUGGAGAGGCAGGCAGAAUUCCUGGUGUAGCGGUGAAAUGCGUAGAUAUCAGGAGGAAUACCGGAGGCGAAGGCGGCCUGCUGGACAAAUACUGACGCUGAGGAGCGAAAGCGUGGGGAGCGAACA
Molecule: ribosomal RNA, 207 nt
Filed under: uncultured bacterium
Lineage: Bacteria
Description: partial 16S ribosomal RNA
Rfam family: Bacterial small subunit ribosomal RNA
Source: RNAcentral